RNA transcript from Sander lucioperca (pikeperch), 1883 nucleotides. It is a transcript of the gene named low density lipoprotein receptor adaptor protein 1b, with no coding region annotated. The record is from RefSeq and is a predicted model, not a curated record. NCBI's taxonomy places the organism in Eukaryota, Metazoa, Chordata, Actinopteri, Perciformes, Percidae. The transcript is spliced from 11 exons.
GGAUGCGAGCGCCGCUGCUGCAACAACCUCACUCGCGUGAUUCCACAAACGGGCGUCACGCACAUUAUCCGGUUAAUUUACAUACAAAACACCGCCCAGGGGGACGAACAUGAUAAUCACCCAUCGACUGAAAGCUAACCGUGCGGAGGGGAGGAAAAAACAGCUGAAAAAAAGUUUGGACGGGAGAGGACUGUAUUAAACCAAGCGAAGUGUUUCGACACAAACGAACAGGCACUUGUCGGGCUUUUUGCCCUACUUUUGGAUUACGAUAUGGACGCUUUGAAAUCCGCUGGAAGGGCAAUUAUACGGAGCCCCAGUAUCGCCAAACAGUCGUGGGCUGCGAGCAAACAUAAAAAGCUUCCAGAGAACUGGACAGACACGAGGGAGACCCUUCUGGAGGGCAUGGUGUUCCAGCUCAAGUACCUGGGGGUCACAAUGGUUGAGCAGCCCAAAGGAGAGGAGCUGUCUGCGGCUGCUGUCAAGAGGAUAGUGGCCACGGCCAAAGCCAGUGGAAAAAAACUCCAGAAAGUCACAUUAACGGUCUCCCCACGAGGAAUCAUCCUUUACGACAGUGCCUCCAACCAGCUGAUAGAAAACCUCUCCAUAUACAGAAUAUCAUAUUGCACGGCGGACAAGAUGCAUGACAAAGUGUUUGCCUACAUCGUCCAGAGCCAACACAAUGAGACUCUGGAGUGUCACGCCUUCCUCUGCACGAAGAGAAAAAUGGCCCAGGCGGUAACCCUAACAGUGGCUCAGGCUUUCAGAGUGGCGUUUGAAUUCUGGCAGGCUGCCAAGGAAGAGAAAGAAAAACGAGUGAAGUUGUGUUCAGACGAAGAAGGAGCCAGUAACUCUCAGUCGGACAGCUCGGCUAGCCUGGGCAGCCUGAAGGGAGGAGAGGUAGCCACAGCAAAGCUUCUGGAUUUGGCAGAGGGAGCCAACGUGGCGCUGGUCCACUCAGGAACAAAGCAGACUGAAUCGGAUCCCUUUAUGGUGCAUAAUCACGCAACAGAGAACAACAAUACUGUAUGGGAGUUGGAGGACGGUCUGGACGAGGCUUUCUCAAGCCGCAGUCUGGAUAGCUUUGAAUCCUACUCAGACUCGCUGAGUCUCGCACUAACCCCCAGGUCCUGGACAUUGGGGUAAACCCUCAGGACUUCAACACUGAAGAGUGCCUGUCCCCAGGCAGAUGGGACCAAGAGGACACGGACUUCACCACACAAAAAGACACUUUUUUAAAGUGAAGCCUCCGGGAAACAGGGAAACAUGAGGAGAAAUGGUGGUAAAACAUGGUUGGAAACUGAAGUGACAAAACAGACAUUUGUGACAUCAACAUGGUUUCCCACCUUCUCCCUGCUGCCAAGUCCUCUCUGUGGUUAUGUCGAGUGGCUCUUUGAUGCUUCUGCAUGACCAGAGGAGGACAGAGACACGAGCAGGCUGCUCGCAGAACAGGCCAAAGCAAUACAAACCAAUUUAUCCCUUUUCUAUGAAAAACAUGCAGUCAUUUAAUGUUUGUUACAGUCAGUGUAUAACUUCCUUUUUUUGUGUCUGUUUACCCAUACACUGUUAGUAAUGUCUUUGUGGUAUGUGCUCGUGUACAUUGCGUUGAAGAAAGCGUGUGUGUGGAUGUACAGUAUAUAAGUGUACGAAGUGAGAUAUGAGAACUGUGAUGUGCUGAGUUUUGAACAGGUGAGGUAAAGGUCAAAAAGGUUGCUGUCACGUAUUUUAACUUUAACUAGAGAUGGAGAAAUGUAACUGGAUUAGAGGGGAAAGUAUGUGGUGAAGGCCACCAAUGCCUCAGUUUCAGUAUUGGGUAAAACAAAGUUACUACCUAUAUGUGCUUCAAGGAUUCAGCCUUUCGUUGGGCAACAAAAGCUUUAAAAAAA